AGCUCGAUGAGUAGGGCGGGACACGUGGUAUCCUGUCUGAAUAUGGGGGGACCAUCCUCCAAGGCUAAAUACUCCUGACUGACCGAUAGUGAACCAGUACCGUGAGGGAAAGGCGAAAAGAACCCCGGCGAGGGGAGUGAAAAAGAACCUGAAACCGUGUACGUACAAGCAGUGGGAGCACAGAGCAAUCUGUGUGACUGCGUACCUUUUGUAUAAUGGGUCAGCGACUUAUAUUCUGUAGCAAGGUUAACCGAAUAGGGGAGCCGAAGGGAAACCGAGUCUUAACUGGGCGUUAAGUUGCAGGGUAUAGACCCGAAACCCGGUGAUCUAGCCAUGGGCAGGUUGAAGGUUGGGUAACACUAACUGGAGGACCGAACCGACUAAUGUUGAAAAAUUAGCGGAUGACUUGUGGCUGGGGGUGAAAGGCCAAUCAAACCGGGAGAUAGCUGGUUCUCCCCGAAAGCUAUUUAGGUAGCGCCUCGUGAAUUCAUCUCCGGGGGUAGAGCACUGUUUCGGCAAGGGGGUCAUCCCGACUUACCAACCCGAUGCAAACUGCGAAUACCGGAGAAUGUUAUCACGGGAGACACACGGCGGGUGCUAACGUCCGUCGUGAAGAGGGAAACAACCCAGACCGCCAGCUAAGGUCCCAAAGUCAUGGUUAAGUGGGAAACGAUGUGGGAAGGCCCAGACAGCCAGGAUGUUGGCUUAGAAGCAGCCAUCAUUUAAAGAAAGCGUAAUAGCUCACUGGUCGAGUCGGCCUGCGCGGAAGAUGUAACGGGGCUAAACCAUGCACCGAAGCUGCGGCAGCGACACUGUGUGUUGUUGGGUAGGGGAGCGUUCUGUAAGCCUGUGAAGGUGUGCUGUGAGGCAUGCUGGAGGUAUCAGAAGUGCGAAUGCUGACAUAAGUAACGAUAAAGCGGGUGAAAAGCCCGCUCGCCGGAAGACCAAGGGUUCCUGUCCAACGUUAAUCGGGGCAGGGUGAGUCGACCCCUAAGGCGAGGCCGAAAGGCGUAGUCGAUGGGAAACAGGUUAAUAUUCCUGUACUUGGUGUUACUGCGAAGGGGGGACGGAGAAGGCUAUGUUGGCCGGGCGACGGUUGUCCCGGUUUAAGCGUGUAGGCUGGUUUUCCAGGCAAAUCCGGAAAAUCAAGGCUGAGGCGUGAUGACGAGGCACUACGGUGCUGAAGCAACAAAUGCCCUGCUUCCAGGAAAAGCCUCUAAGCAUCAGGUAACAUCAAAUCGUACCCCAAACCGACACAGGUGGUCAGGUAGAGAAUACCAAGGCGCUUGAGAGAACUCGGGUGAAGGAACUAGGCAAAAUGGUGCCGUAACUUCGGGAGAAGGCACGCUGAUAUGUAGGUGAAGUCCCUCGCGGAUGGAGCUGAAAUCAGUCGAAGAUACCAGCUGGCUGCAACUGUUUAUUAAAAACACAGCACUGUGCAAACACGAAAGUGGACGUAUACGGUGUGACGCCUGCCCGGUGCCGGAAGGUUAAUUGAUGGGGUCAGCGCAAGCGAAGCUCUUGAUCGAAGCCCCGGUAAACGGCGGCCGUAACUAUAACGGUCCUAAGGUAGCGAAAUUCCUUGUCGGGUAAGUUCCGACCUGCACGAAUGGCGUAAUGAUGGCCAGGCUGUCUCCACCCGAGACUCAGUGAAAUUGAACUCGCUGUGAAGAUGCAGUGUACCCGCGGCAAGACGGAAAGACCCCGUGAACCUUUACUAUAGCUUGACACUGAACAUUGAGCCUUGAUGUGUAGGAUAGGUGGGAGGCUUUGAAGUGUGGACGCCAGUCUGCAUGGAGCCGACCUUGAAAUACCACCCUUUAAUGUUUGAUGUUCUAACGUGGACCCGUGAUCCGGGUUGCGGACAGUGUCUGGUGGGUAGUUUGACUGGGGCGGUCUCCUCCUAAAGAGUAACGGAGGAGCACGAAGGUUGGCUAAUCCUGGUCGGACAUCAGGAGGUUAGUGCAAUGGCAUAAGCCAGCUUGACUGCGAGCGUGACGGCGCGAGCAGGUGCGAAAGCAGGUCAUAGUGAUCCGGUGGUUCUGAAUGGAAGGGCCAUCGCUCAACGGAUAAAAGGUACUCCGGGGAUAACAGGCUGAUACCGCCCAAGAGUUCAUAUCGACGGCGGUGUUUGGCACCUCGAUGUCGGCUCAUCACAUCCUGGGGCUGAAGUAGGUCCCAAGGGUAUGGCUGUUCGCCAUUUAAAGUGGUACGCGAGCUGGGUUUAGAACGUCGUGAGACAGUUCGGUCCCUAUCUGCCGUGGGCGCUGGAGAACUGAGGGGGGCUGCUCCUAGUACGAGAGGACCGGAGUGGACGCAUCACUGGUGUUCGGGUUGUCAUGCCAAUGGCACUGCCCGGUAGCUAAAUGCGGAAGAGAUAAGUGCUGAAAGCAUCUAAGCACGAAACUUGCCCCGAGAUGAGUUCUCCCUGACCCUUUAAGGGUCCUGAAGGAACGUUGAAGACGACGACGUUGAUAGGCCGGGUGUGUAAGCGCAGCGAUGCGUUGAGCUAACCGGUACUAAUGAACCGUGAGGCUUAACCUUACAACGCCGAAGGUGUUU
Molecule: ribosomal RNA, 2562 nt
Filed under: Escherichia coli
Lineage: Bacteria; Pseudomonadati; Pseudomonadota; Gammaproteobacteria; Enterobacterales; Enterobacteriaceae
Description: partial 23S ribosomal RNA
Rfam family: Bacterial large subunit ribosomal RNA
Source: RNAcentral